This 253-nucleotide ribosomal RNA is filed under the name uncultured bacterium. RNAcentral describes it as "partial 16S ribosomal RNA". It matches the Rfam family "Bacterial small subunit ribosomal RNA", at positions 524 to 776 of the family's 1533-position model. The record is from RNAcentral.
UACAGAGGGUGCAAGCGUUAAUCGGAAUUACUGGGCGUAAAGCGUGCGUAGACGGUUGCGUAAGUCGGAUGUGAAAUCCCCGGGCUCAACCUGGGAAUUGCAUUCGAGACUGCGUAGCUGGGGUGCGGAAGAGGGAAGCGGAAUUUCCGGUGUAGCGGUGAAAUGCGUAGAUAUCGGGAAGAACACCCGUGGUGAAGGCGGCACUCUGGGACGGUACUGACGCUGAGACGCGAAAGCGUGGGGAGCGAACAGG